CCUACGGGUGGCAGCAGUGAGGAAUAUUGGUCAAUGGCCGGAAGGCUGAACCAGCCAUGCCGCGUGAAGGUCAGUGCCCUAUGGGCGUUAACAUUCUUUUGUGCGGGAGCAAUAAUGGUCACGUGUGGCCAGACGAGAGUACCGUACGCAUAAGCAUCGGCUAACUCCGUGCCAGCAGCCGCGGUAAUACGGGUGAUGCAAGCGUUCUCCGGAUUUAUUGGGUUUAAAGGGUGCGUAGGCUGUGAGGUAAGUCAGCGGGGAAAUGCCCCCGCUCAACGGGGUGAAGUGCCAUUGAUACUGCCGUGCUGAAAUGCGGAUGCCGUGGGAGGAAUGUGUGGGGUAGCGGUGAAAUGCAUAGAUAUCACACAGAACACCGAUUGCGAAGGCAUCUCACGAAUCCGCGAUUGACGCUGAUGCACGAAAGCGUGGGUAUCAAACAGGAUUAGAUACCCCUGUAGUC
RNAcentral lists this ribosomal RNA (460 nucleotides) under uncultured bacterium. Its description in RNAcentral is "partial 16S ribosomal RNA". It matches the Rfam family "Bacterial small subunit ribosomal RNA", at positions 338 to 795 of the family's 1533-position model. The record is from RNAcentral.